AAUCGCAUAUAAUUAGUAAUUAGACCCCCAAAAGCGGCAAAAAUAAAGCAACAGCCGAACAAAAGGGUAAAUAUUAAUCUAGGUCGAGAUCCGGCGACGGAGGUUCGUCGGGUUUCGCCCAUUCCGUUUUGGUGCUCCGUUUGUAUAGAUCUACCGGUUCUGUAGAGAGAUUGUUCCGAUCAGACGGCGGAGAGAUGAAGGCCUCUUUGACUCUCGUCGCAUCGGUGGUCGCCGCUUCCACCGCCGCCGUUACUUCCUUUUCCUCCAUUUCCGGUGACCGUGACAUCUCAAUCAAUUCCUGUACUUAUCAGGGAAAAUCGGUAAAUUCACCUCCAAUCUCCUCGGAGAAGGGAAAAUUCGCUCCGAAGUACGAUGGGUUGAAGUUCAUAGAGACACUGAUCACCGCCCACAGGUGAAUAAUCAAAAUGUUCGGCUAUUUUUUUUCUUCAAGAAAGUAAUACAUGUUUAUUUUUUGGGUGAGAAUGUGAAUGGCUCGGAUCGAUUAUUUUGUGGCUCUUGACUUUGAGUCAAAGUGAUGGAUAUCUUGCCUUCUCGUUGUGUAUGUUGAGGAGAAUAAUGAACUUAUGUAAAAGUGUAGGCUUUUUUACGAUUAUUUAACUCAAGGAUGGUAGUUUUCCAUGGUACCCCUUGACUUUUGUUUAGGUUAAUACUCGUGUUGUCUCCUUUUUUUUUAGAUCUAUGUACCUUGGCUUCUUAAUUGUUAACUCUUAUAUACAAAAUUGUUCUGUUAGUUGAUUUGAAGCGGUACCGAGCUUAAUUCUC
Non-coding RNA from Erythranthe guttata (spotted monkey flower), 783 nucleotides. Lineage: Eukaryota; Viridiplantae; Streptophyta; Magnoliopsida; Lamiales; Phrymaceae. The record is from RefSeq and is a predicted model, not a curated record.